CUCCUCCAGGAACACACCCCACACCAACCGGAACUCCCACCACCGGAACUUCACCAACCAACGUGAACUCUUCAGGAGUCCCUGGGAGAGCUCAACCGGAACUCCGCGAGAACUCAAAAGUUAUCAUCUUAAUGGCUUGCUGGCGUCCCCCCUCAACCACUACUUCUGGCAAAAAUGCCAUGCGUCAUCCCAACUGGGCUGUGGCCCUCAACACACUUCCAGGAACAGAGAAUGUGGGCCAUCUCAGGAAUGGACAUGCUUUUGGGUCUUUUUUUAAAGGAGACUCUGUAAACAGUAAAUGUGAGAAGGUAGAUGCUGGACUUGAUGUGGUCAGAGACAAGAUCACUAGGCCUGUCUGUCAAAAGAGGUAGAUGUACCAAAUGUGAAGGGAGAAGUCUAUAUGCAGUUUGCUGGACUGGCUCUGCAGGAUUCCAGAAGUGAUGUUUGGAGACACUGAGUGACUUGACUAAGUCAUAGACCUAGAAUGUGGAAAGUUUCACUCCAGGGACCACAGUGUACAAAAGAAAUUUGUGCACCUUAUGAAAUUUUUCUUGAUUUUGGAGAUAGGCCUCACCAAUGUUUUGGACUCCCUUGUCUCCUUCUAUUCAGUCAUCAGCAGCUUUGGGCAAGAAAUAACUGCAGCAAGACCCAGGUACUCAGCCCUACAACAGCUGUAAAGACCCCGUCCCAGAACUAAAGAGAUCCCUGUGAAGAGCUCGAUCAGACCCUCAGUGGGUGUCUGGUGUUGAAGAUUCUCCCAGAAGGUCCCUGUCACUGUGAUUUGAUACCAGAUGCCACCUGAUAGACACACUGGCCCAAUGGAGCAGAGAAAGGGCUGCAAGGUGUUCGAAGAAGAAAAGGGAGCCCAGGCGAGGCCCAGGUAGGACUCUAGUGUUCUUUGGGACAACUGGAAAACCUGCAUGUCCCCUGGGCAUGGACAUUUGGGGAGAGGGGCUUGGCAAGAGCCUAUCAGAUUAACAGACCAAGUGACAGAGAAAGGAACAGGGUUUCACAGCUAGGUGGGCGAGGUGUGCUGUACCCAGCACCUGCCCAGAUCUACACUGAGCUCCAGCAGGGAGGAGUCUCAGAGAUGUCAAUCUUGAUGCAGCAUCCAUGCUGUGGCUGGGGAGGACACCAAGGUGAGCCAAAUAACUUCAAGUCUGUUUCAAAAGAAUUCUGUUUUUUUUUUUAAUUGAAGUAAUAGCUUUGGGUUUUUGUAAAAAUCAUAAACACCUAUUGUAAAAAAAUGCAGAAAACCACUCCCCCGCCCCCCUCCACUCUGUGACCACCCCAGAACUUCCUGCUCCCUGGAUUACACAUAUCUGUCAGAGUGUGGACACACUCCUGGCUCCACGUGCUCCAUUCAUGGUGCUCUGUGACCUGCAUUUUCAUGUAUCAUUUGCUGUGAA
Non-coding RNA from Ictidomys tridecemlineatus (thirteen-lined ground squirrel), 1409 nucleotides. The record is from RefSeq and is a predicted model, not a curated record. Lineage: Eukaryota; Metazoa; Chordata; Mammalia; Rodentia; Sciuridae.